AUGGACAAGGACGACAUCCUCUGUUGCCACAUCCUCAAGGUGUUCACCCAUGUUGGAGUUGAUGUCAUACCGGAAAGGUACCUGCUAAGACGGUGGACACCUACUGCUGUACCUAGUGCGCCAGGGACUGGUUAUGAGCAACCGGAUGAAAUGCCUCCUCAAUCAAAGAAGCAGAUAAGGGAGAGGAACAUGAUAUACGAUUUCCAGAAACUAGCAAAGUUUGUGAGUGGUUCUGAUCCAGCACAAGCUAUUGUAUACAAGCAUAUGCGUGCAGCACGUACCGAGAUCGGCCACCUGAACAAGUCCAAGAAAAAGAAAAACCGACUGCUGCAAUGGGGCCAUCAGAUGAUGGCAACCCUCGAGGACCUCCUCCACCUCCAGGCAGCAAUCAGGGGGCUCAUCAUCCAGUUCUGGAUAUAG
RNAcentral lists this ribosomal RNA (420 nucleotides) under Triticum aestivum (bread wheat). RNAcentral's name for it is "partial small subunit ribosomal RNA". The record is from RNAcentral. Lineage: Eukaryota; Viridiplantae; Streptophyta; Magnoliopsida; Poales; Poaceae.